CCUUUCUUUUUUCAAAAGUAAAUGGAAAAAAAACACCCUUUGGCUGAACCAUGCAAUCUCUGAAAAGUAAAAGUUCAGGCAUCCUUCCUUCAGGCGAUGUUAGAGCUGCAAUGCGCUGUUCUGCCCCAUGUUUUUUAUUCUGACCUGUGCUAUCAUUGCUGAAGAAGGAAAUGUGGUUAGUGGAGAAGAAGAAAGGAGAUAGGGUUUUACUCAUCACCUUUUUCUUUUAUAAAAUAGGGGUUAUAUUUACUCUUUUCUGUGGUGCUCUAUGCUUUCCUCCUGCUCCCGCAAAACAACUGAGUCUCUGCUUAAGUUCAAGGCUGCAAAUAAGCCCUUUCACUGCAAUCUCCCUUUAGGGGAAGCCACCUCAGGCACAAGGGCUUUGUGCAGUGGAGGCUGAUGAAGUACCAGGGAGUCCUGCUCCAGUGGAGUCCCCAGGGAGACAAUACCACCUUCCCCUGGCAGUCACACAUCAUUGGACAGGUUCCUAGAAACCACUAACAGCUCAAACAUUAUAGGAUUUUCUUCUUCACAAUGGCAUGGCAGAUACCACCAGCAAGGAAAAAAGAUGCCAUUGAAGCUAAGAAUGCUUUAGAACUGCUGUGGGAGGAAAAAAGUGUGGAAAGUGCUUACGAAAAUAUGUCCCAUGCUACAAAGAAAGAAGAGAGUUGCUUCUGCCACACUGUGUGCUGCCUUUCUCAACAGGCUUAUUCAGCAGAACCAGAGAAGAUCAUCAUUGGACCAAGACUGCAAAGGCAUCAAUUUAUGUGUCGUCCAAGAUGACAGAUCAAGCAAGCAAGUAUGCCUGAUAAGGAAUUUGAACACCCAACUCUUUUCAGAUCUGUGAAAAUCCUUAUUUACAAAAAUGAGAAGUGCAUUGCUUCCAAAACUGACUGUAAGUAUCAGGACAACAAAGUUAUCCCAAAAUCCAGAAGCAUGGCUGGAGGGUAGAAUAAGGACAAUGUCACACUCCUGUUUUAAAAGGAAUUGCUCCCAGUUCCCUAAAGGCAGCUAAUUCAGGAGCUACCAGUUAAAAGUAACAAGGACAAUGCAGUAGAAAGUGAGAGUGAAGGGACUGCAUGAAAAUCUCUGCUUUUUGAUUCACUUUGUUUGAAAGGAUGCUGCAAUCUGCAAUGCAACUAGUAAUGUCCUAUCGAUGUAUAAUGGUAACUGCUACAUCAUCCUCCAGGCUCCUCAUUGCCUGGAUCAAGAUGUAGCAAAAGAAAACCCUUUGAUCUCAUCACAGUUACUUGAGUGUAUGAGGCAGGGUGAAUCUAGGAUGUCUUAGGCUCUAAAAUAUAUAAUGUUUGUAUCUGCUACAUCUGCUCCUUCUUUUAGUUUAAUCAUUCAAACAUCAUGAGGAAACUUGUUGCUUACAAAACACGUAUAGUUUGUGUUGCAAGCAAGGACUACGUGUAUCAAACUCCAGUAUCUUUUUCUCUGUGCAAACAUUUUGAGUAACUGUGAUACAGAGAUGCUGGCAGGCCUCCAAGAAGAAUUCAGGAUGGAAGCUAAACGGCCUAAGUUGUUAUGGUUCAGCAAACAACAUCUCUUUUGUCUGGUAGAUCCCACAGUGUCUUAAUAAUUUCUGGACAUAGAACAGUAAUGCCUCAUAGCUGGGUGCCUAUGGCUUGCUGUAAGAGUCAUCAACAUAGGGAACUGAGUCCAUGGACUUGGAAAUCCUGUGUCCUUCCAGAGGGAGCUGAAACAUAUACACGUCCUGCUGCUACCAGAAGUUGUAUAAUACAUGAUGAUUGCUGAACUAUGCAAUCUUCCUGGGUCUGAGUUCUUGUUCCCAAUAAAAGAUCAAGAAGAGAAAUUAUGAUGUCUGUCUUGAGUCUUGUAAGGUGAAAAAGUAAGUGAUGACUUUUGGGGAUGUUAAGAAAAAAAGUCUGGGAGGAGACUUUCUGUUCCAUCAUGUUUCAGGACACCAGUCUGGUAGAGAAAUCUGUAAGCAGAAACCAGUGGAGAACAGCUUCCAGGAGACACAUCUGCACUCCCACCCUUUCCUGGAGCAUAAGUUUUUCACUGCUUUAUGUCAAUUAAUGGUUGUAAACACUUGUCAAUCAUUUAAUGCCAUAUGAUUCCACUUGAGAGUCAGGAUUUUUUCUCUGAUAGAUCAGCUGCAAUUGUACAUGACAGCAUAAGCUACGUUUCUUCAGUUUUCAUCCUGGCUAAUAGUUGUUCCUGCUUUCAAUCCUGAAGCCUCAUUUGUAGUAGAUUAAUGCAAUUAAACUACUGCAUUUCAUUGGCAGGUGAAAGGAUUCUAGUGCAGACUGUAUUCCAACUUGUAAAGAGAUUAGCAGUCCUUCAAAAUAAAAGGCACUAAUGAACCGAAACUAAGCAGUGUUCCUUCAGAGUAAUACAGCACUUUCAGUCUUGCUUUUUCCUUGCAGCUUCUUCCUUUAAGUGACUUUAAAAAGCAACUUCUGAGGAUGUUUUUAUCUCUGCAAGUUGCUCAGAGGGAGUACACUGCUGAAGAAGGAGUUAAUGAGGUUCUCAAUCCAUCUGCCAGUCUCCCCUCCCACCCCAAUUUCUUGAGAACAACAUAGCUCAGAUUAGUGUCAUCUUUCAUUAUCUUCCCUGGGAGCUGGGACAGGUCAUCCCUUCUCUAAGCAGAAUGGGUGAUGAAAUAUUUUUUUCAGCUAAAUUAUCUAAGUUGGAGUCUGGCACGCAGAUGAUGAGGAUACAGAAAGCAGAGUAAGUUUGCAUUCAUGUGUGUGUCUCUGUGUGUGUAUGUGCACAUUGCAAAAGGAUGGGCAAAUGCUUCCUUGGAUCACAGGGCUGCAUUCAGCCAAUCUCCAAGGGUUAGAAAGGCCUUUGUUUAUGCCAGUCACUGAGAGGUGAUGAUCUGAGCUGUGCUGGGAUUCCCAACAUUCAGCUGCAUUGGCCAACAGGAUGACAAUCCCCCUCUGCUAUUGUGUAAUUGCCCUUCACCUGGUGGAGGUUUUGCAGUAGACCUGUUAUUGUGGCACUGCAAAGGGCAGAUCACGCUCCAGCAGGCUGUAAGCACAACCACCAGACUGAUGGAUUCAGCUCUCUCUGUUGGACAUGCUCCAAGCACACACAUUCUUCCUGAAUUUUUGCUGUCACCAACAGUCAUUGAGAGCAUCUGAAUGACCCAGAUACUGUUCUCAUUUACAAAACCUUGCCUGUCUUCCUGGAGAUAAAUGUAGUUGAUUCCCAUUUUGAUCAUGAGACAUGAGCAGGGGUGGGAAAGAAGAACUUUAUCCACUCUUAUCCACUGUCAUGUUAAAAUGUCUAUAAGCAAACCAGUUUUUAACUCUCUCCUGGACACUUGAGAGGCUGAAAAAUGACAAAUAUAGUUUGUCAGUAAACACAGUGUCUAUAGGAGUUUGCAAUACCUCCCCUGAAAGAGGUUUAAAUGAAAAAAAGAAUCAAAUAUUUGCUGUCUCCAAGGGUGUGAUACUAAAGAGGUAAAUGGCCUCUAUAUAAGAUAUAAGUCUUUGGAGCUGCACUGGUUUUGGAACUGUCCUACAGAGCUGGUCCUUGCUGCUGUGCAAUUAAAUAUUGGGGGAGAUUGAUGCCACUGCUUUCCUCUGCUACCCUGUACAGGUACUAGGAUCUUCCACUUUUGUGUUAUUCAGUGAACAAUGUAGAAUAUUAUCCAGAAGAUGAGCACCCUCCUUUGGUGGCAUCAUGCACGCAGGAAUUUCUGUGCUUUUCAUUUUCUAUUCUGUCCUUGGUUCCACACCAUGUAUCUUGAGAACCAGAAAAGGUUCUCCUAACACUUCUAAUUCCACUAGAGCAAUUUCUGUUCUCAGUAGUGGUUUAGAUUUCUGUCUUGGCUCACAUUCAAGGAGAUCAACCACAUCGUGCUUUCAGGAACCAGACCUUGAGCUUUUGAGAGCUGUCUCUGCUUAGGGAAUCAUUAUGAUAGUGUUUGCAAACCUGUGUUUUCUCACGCUUUGGGAAAUAAAGACACGUCAGAACUCACCUUUUAAAACAAGCUCUAAUUCACCUUCUAAAAUAAGGUCUGACCUGUGGUUUCUAUGUGGAGAAUGAGGGAACUCUUCUUUGUCAAGAUAUACUUGAAAUGAGCAAUCAUUUGGAGGGGCAAUUGCCUCAGGGUCUCAUUGCCUCACCUCUUUUCUUUACUAUUGUUUUACACUGCAGUGGGCACCUUUUAUUACCAUUCAUGGCUUUCAGGUUUCACAUGGAAAGGUGUAAGAAUACACGCCAGACAUGCUGUCACGACCCUAUAGAUCAGGUCCACAACACUUAUAUCCCAGAGAUUUCGUUGGAGCUAAGUGCCUCGAUAAUUGUGCGUCUGAGUCCAUACACCUAAGAAAGAUUUCAGCUGUUGUUAACGUCAGCCUCCACAUUCUCACUUUCUUUUGUUAAUUCAAGCGAGCAGUUUACAGAAAUGUUUAAUGCCCUGUUCAGACCCAGUGAACCAGGGUCAUGUCAGCCUCUUGUAAUGAUUUACCACUGAAUGGUGACUGUGUUAUUGUUCUGUAAGCCAAGUAUUUUUUAUUUCUUCCCAGCACUCAGAAAUGCAGUCCUGAAAUAUGCAAGAACUGUGUGUGGCUGAGAGUCAAACUGGAUUUAAGACUUUUUGCUUGUGUGCAGGAUAGCUCAAAAAAUUAAAUCAAACCAAGGUCAUCCUGUGUGCCUCGUACAAGGAGGUUCAGGUCUGCUCUCAAACCCACUGGUUUCACUGGCUGUGAGAUACAGAAAACCAUGUUGUUGGUUCAUCAGCCCACCAACAGACAGCAGAUGCCCGCAGCUGAUGGCUUGUGCUUUCUGAUGCCAGUCUAGCUGCAGCCUGCAGCCCCCGCUGCUCUCCCCCCCUUCAAAAAGGGACUCCUGAUGGGCUGAUGAUGUUUGUUAUCUCCCCAAAAAUCACAGUGCUGAUCCUCGGUUGCACAGGCCCGCUGCUGAGAAGCUGCAUUCUGCUAGUGGUGUGCCAUGGGGUAUAUUUCAAGCUUUCUGUAUUAAUGGCAUAGCAUGAGGCUAAGCAGCAGGGGCUGCUGCCUGAGAACCUUUCAAGACACCAGCAUUUCAACUUAUUUAUUCUUCAUCUGCUUUUGUUAAAAGAUCACCAAGAAUGUUUUCACUGGUCCCAAAAGCCUCAGCUUUGCCUUUUAUAAGAAGGAGUUGAUUCCUCUGCCCCAUAUUGUGGUCAUGCCACAGGAGGACAAGCCAUUCCCUUCAGGUACCUUUUUCACUGUCUGUGCAGGUAAACAGCGAAAUCUGUUAGCUCUCUUUUGUAUGUGUGUUUGUGUGUGUUCAUGUUGAUGGCCAAUGUAAGUGUCUCCACUGAGUAUUGGACAGUUAUACCUGUGCAGAGGAAUUGGACUUUCUAAACCUCCUCACUAGGCUUUUUGGCUGGUUAAGUGUUGCUUGUAGCAGUGGGCAGUAACAGCUGCCUUCUGAGGAAAUAUGCAUUUCUAUCAAUAAUGCUGUGUUUGUAGAGUUUGCUGCUUAAUUGACUUCAACUAUGCAUUCAGACUGAACAUUUCUGUCCAGCCAAGCAAGAUAAGCUGGUCAUACUUCAAUUAGAAUACAAACUCUGUUUGCUGCUGCCUUGCAUGAAGCCAAGAAGGAAGUCAGUGCAAAACAAGGAGAGUGAUGUAAAUUAGAAGCUGUUCCUCCUUCCUGAGAUGUGGUGACCUCUUGCACAAAUUGUUGUGUUCAACAAAAGUGUGACAUAUAGGCACCUGGAAUUGUAGGAGGGUUGAAAGGCUGAUGCAUUUCUAGACACUCCAGGUUUCAGCACUUCAACACCAUGAGACUGAACGGCCCUCCAAACAGUGGUCUUCAGAUUUGAACCUUCAGUAAGACACUGAUCUCUCUCUGCUUUUUGGAGUCCUUGAAUUCAACCCAAGUUCCAUAAACUGCUGAAGCACUUGCCAUUCAGGAGGAGGAAAUAUUCACAUUCAGGUGAUUUAGGGUCAAGAGCAAUUUGGAAUGGAGACUAUAGUUGAGGAGAGAAUGAAGAUGCAGGGGAUUUCAUAAAAGGAAAACACAACGUCUGUUUACAAAAAGUGGGUUGGACUCAAUGGUGAAGACCUCGCUUACACAAAGCAAGUGUCAAGCAGAAUUCUACAUCUGAUUCUACUGUCUUCAUCUAAUGAUCAAAUGGAAAAGAGCUGCAGUAACCAGAAGAGUCAUGGUAUUGACAUCUUCGGCAGAUGCAUCCCAAGCCCCAAAAGCAAGAGAAACGCCUAGGCUGGUGGACCACUGUGGUAAUGUACACGCCCCUUCCCUUGACAGACAGAGCCUUUGACCAAUGAGAUGCCUCAUUUCAGAGAAAUUUCUGGACCACUACCAUAAAUGAUCACAGCUCAGACUCGAGUAGGUAUAAAUGAAGAACCUCAUGGAGUUGGUCUCUCGUGGAGCAGUGGGUCUGCAGCGGAAGGUUUUCCUGCUUAGGUGGGCCAUCUAAGGCAUGUUCCUCAGGGAUAGGGACACCUUGCUGACCUGACCCAGAGACCCUGGAUAGCUUUGGAUGGAGUUGUUUAAGGACUGCUGUUAAACAUUUCGCCCUCCAAGGACCUUAAAGCUACCCAGGAUUUUUCACUCCCAGGCCGGGUGAAUGCAAAUUAUAGUGUGUCUUUAGCACGCUGAUAUGAUAACAAACUGAGACAUUGCAGAUUUACCAGUGAAAUACUGAGGAAGAAGACAUUUUGUUCUUAGAACUCUGCAAAGUGGGAGAAGCAGGUAAGAAAGAGGUAAGGCAAAGGUUGACUGGCUUCUACUGGCUUAGCAUUGCUUUGCAACCUACACAUUAAAAAUGUAUUGUACAGAAUAAAUGAGAUGGGAAUAGCUGAUGAAUAUCACGGAACUGAGAUGCUGAGAGCUUUGCUUCACUGUUGGAUAAUGCUGGGUAUUUGCUAGUAACAGAUGGUAGCCUUCUCAUCCAUAUUUCUGUGCCCUGAAUGGAGGAUUGCUUGAUGACACGUGCACAGUUACUGUCACUGUCAACUUUGUCAUUUUGUGGCCGCCUUACAGCUUUGAGGGCCUCCAUGUGUUUAAUCAUUUGUGCAGAGAUUUUAUGAGUCAGGUGCUUAAGAGUCUGGUAGGAGGGAAGAUAAAGCAAAUCAGUUCCAGUUACCCUUAAUCCCAGCAAAGCCAUAGCCUCUGAUCACUUAGCUGUUCCUAAAUGGCCUGUGUCUUGUAUUCUACAUUAACACUCAUGGUGUUAACUGGUAAUAUGCAGAGGCCAAAUAAACGAAUAUACCAAGGUGAACGCAUGUAUGGCCUGAUUCCUUCCACAGUGGAUGCCAGUGGGAAGGCACAAUAUGUGUUGAAUACCAGAAAACCAUUUGUGAGCUAAAAGAUCCUUCAGACCAGUUUGCAUUUUUCUGUUGCCCAGACCAAAAGCUACAUGAGGCUGGAGGAGACUGAAGUUUUCUUUGCAGUGGCAACGCACCAGAGCUGUGUGUCCCACCAAGAGUACCCUGGCCGCAGGACACCCGUGGCUCUGCACCCAGAGCGGUUGCAGCCCCUGCUUCCUGGCUGAGGUCUCCAGCUGCUACUGAGAACUCCUCUGAAUGCUUCUUCAGCUACGUUUUAAAUGGCAGAGAAAAAAAAAAAAAAGGUAUACAGAACAAAAAAGAAGGGUUUCUCUCAUCUUGGAAGAAAUUCAGGGAUUUCACAGCCUAGACUAAGGCACAUGGAGGUAUGCUAAUAGUGAGCUUUGAGCUGAACGCUUUCUUUUGCCUGUGUACAGGCCCCCCAGUGUCCUGGCUCCUUAAGAUCCUUUUCUGUAGCAUGACUAUAUCCAUACAUACCUGGGCUCUAGAUCCUGGCUCCUACUUUGGGCUAUGGAAGCAAGACCCAAGUCCUUCCUCUUGCGUGGCACUGUCAUUCCUUCACAUGCCCAGUGCCCCCUGUACCUGUGCAGGUGGUAUAUUUCAGCCACUUUCUACUGAGGGCAAAUGAAUACACCAGGAGAACUGCUCCACUGCACGUCCUUUGGAUGCUUCAUGAGCAAAGAGGCAUAUUACAUCCUCUCUGCAGAAAUCUGAGAUAAAACAAUUCCAACUUUCAUCAGCUGAGGCUAUAGCCUUAGUUUACAACUAUCAAACAACACUUCUUUUAAACCCAUGAUUUUUGCUUCUCACUUCUCAUCAUCUCUUCCGUUGCUUCUAGAAGAACUUGAUCUUAUUUGUUGAAAUAUUUUCUAUCUGGAGUGCCUCCAAACAUGAACUAUAAUUAAUUAUCAAGGAGAUCAUCACAAUUCAUAAUAAGUCGUGUGCUAAUUACAUGUACCCUAUGAGUAUUUUCCUCUCAUUUAUCUUGUGAGUGCUCAUUUUGCAGAUUAAUAAUGAACACGACAACUGCAAGUGAAACCAGUACUAUGGACUGUUAAAUAAAGGCAUGGGGGGAUUGAGCUCUUAAUUAAAACUGCUAUUUGCUUGGCAUUACAAAUGCUACUACCCAUCUUGCUUCCAGGAAAGGCUAUUUAUUAAAAAUGUAUUAUUCCCAAGAGACAUAAAAGAUGCUAAGGCACUCUGGUAACACCAAAAGAAGCACUUAGUAUUGAAAACUGUUUCAUACCCACACUGAAUUAAAGAAUCUAUGAAAAAUAUCAGCCUGUUAGAGCUGAAAAGCAAUACUCUCUCCUACACAGGCAAGCACAAAUAAGCUUUUCUUCUCUGAGCCAUAAUCCAAAGAACACAAGCCUUAGUUUCUUUCCCCAGUCAGGCUUGGCCUAGAUUCUCUUGCUAAUACUGUCUGUAGGCCUCACAAAUAAUUUUCGUAAUCAAGAGGUACAAUAAACCUGGCUGUGAGUAGUCAUCAUGCAGAACUAACUGUUUUGGUCACUGCCAGCUUCAUGAGCUAGAUGAGAAUCUGCAGUCUGGAAGUGAAAAAUGGUUUAUUUAGGUUUUUCAAAAGAGCACCUCAUUCCUCAUCACAAUCUAAAAAACAGUACUUGUGCUUCUAAGACAAGAAAAGAUAGGGGUAGAAAUGCAUGGUGUGACAUCUCUAGAUGUGAAGUUACAAGCCAGCACUGCAGCAGCACUUCAGAGAAAAUGCUUUCUUUUGGGCAUAAAAAUUCCACUGGCUCUUCAUAGUUUGAUUUGAGGUGGAAUUCUUGUGGCUGGAUGUCGGUGUACCAAGGCAAUUAGCUUUGGGAGUCAUAACUUCAUGUCAGAAAACCAGUCCUGGUUCUCUCAGUUCUGUUCAAAAUCCUAGCCCUACCUGCUUCAUUCCUUUUUGUAGCUUAGCUAAGUUUCUGAUUAAUAUGUUAGUUUAGGUAAAAAUUCUUUUCAUUCCUCUAAAAAGCCUCAUGUUAAAUUACUACAGAGUUUUGUUCUUCCCCUUCCCCAAUAACUUAAUCUUAGGGCUAACAUUUAAAAAAAAAUCAAUUUCUAAGAAGAAAAAUUUCACUUUCUCACAACCCUGGCACUUGAGAAAUAACAGGGAUGAAGAUGACCUCUUGUGGAAUGGCUCUAAAAAGCCUUCUGGUUUUUUUUAGCCCUUUUCAUACCCCAGAAGAGCUAAUGACAGUCCAUGUAAUUUCUUACUCAUUAGUUCAUGACUCCAUGACUCAGGUGCCACGUUCCGUUAGUCAGCUUGACGUCACGUGAUUUAUAUCACAAUAUCAUAAAAUUGUAAUUACAAACAGCUUGAAAGUCAAAGAGCUUCUCUCUGGAAAUAUCAGUUUUGCCCAUCAAAGUGACUUUCUUUUGGUUAGUCAAAACAUAUUGUGGUAGUAACAAAUCAGUUUGUUGUAAGGUGUAUUACUUUAUGAAUACCAAAACAUAUAUGUUCUACUAUAAAAGGCAGUUCAUUCAUAUAUCUUACCACACUAGACACAAUCAAAGAUUAGGCCACUGCCUUUCUAAACAUAUAUUCUUCUUUAACUAAUACAACUUCAAUUGUUAAAAUGAAGGCCUUUCCAUAGAAGAAGCAAAACUAAAGUGGUCUUUCGCUGUUAAAUCUUCCAGUACUGAACACCUUUCCUCCCAGUGGCUGACAAGCUUCUGGACCAGCUCUUGCCCCAGUGCCUUUGUUUGCUCCUGUUUUCCUGCUCGCAUUGUACCGCAGCCGCCUAGCAUUGCUGGAAAAUGCUUUUCUUUUCCUGUUGGUACCAAUCUGAAUACAGAGCAGACAGUGAGUUUGCUGACACCCAUACUUAAAUCAGAAUAAUUUUUCUUAUCCAGUACAUUUGUUUCUAUGACCUUGGUGACAUAUUUAUAGAAUUCAGUUUUUCUGAGGGAGAGAGACUGGUUUGUGUUUGCUUGUGCAACAGCUGUGCUUUGUCCUUUAAAAAGACAAUAUAGUCCCUACGCCUGGCUAUUUUUAAACUACAUAGGUCACACUGGUCAUCUAAAAAUAAAUUUCUAAUAUUCACAUGUAGUGCACAUAGAACCAUCAUUUGACCAAAUAUGGUAGCAUAAAGGGGACCUUAUCAGGUCUUUGCCUUCUAUAGUGUCAAUAAUGAUCUAAAAAUACACAACAAAACCACAAACAGACCCUGUACUUCCUGUUUGCAAAACACCAUGGGCAGAAAUUAAUGCUUUUGUGCAAAUAGAGACUGGACUGGGGAUACACUCAGACUUCUCCCAGCAGUAAUAAAAUAAUGUUUUUUACUUCCCCAAAAGGAUCUGGUUAAUCAUAACCCCUGUACAGCAAGAAAGCCCAGUAUUUUGAAGGGAAGAAUAAUGCUGGGAUGUAAAACAAAACUGAUAUUCAGAAAUACCCAUGAAAGAUCUCUCUUUUAAAUAAGCAUAAUCAAGACAUGUUGACGUCAAGCUUUCAAAUCAGACUUUAAAGACAAGCACAAAACUUCUAGUCUAUCUGAUUCCCAAGGCUUUACGGUUUCUUUUUUGUCAUUGAUGCUGGCUCAGAGGCCCCAGAGGACCUGAACUGCUCAGACCCAAAGCAAUCUCCAUAAAAGAGCAGACCCAGAUUUUGGCUAUCUAGGCUUUCUCAAAAAAAACAUGCCAAUCUGGCUAAGAAAAAGCACCAUGGGUCAGCUAACAUGCAGACAGCUGGAGUCUAUAGGCUUUGGCAAGAUGUUUUAAUUUCGAUUAACUGGGCAUUUCUUUGACAAAAAGCAGAACAGAAAAGGUUUUCCAGGGACAAGUCCUUAUGAAACCUCUAUCUGUCAUAGUUUAAAAGAACACCGUGAGCAGUAGAAUUAAGAAGGUUUGGUUUCUCAUCGAUUUGUAUUUCACAAAUGGCCACCUCGGUGGACUUAAUCAUUUUUAGCACGGCAUGAGCUGGUGGGUUGAACACACAACACACAUCACUGUAUCAAAAAGAUUUUUGGUUACAAAGCGUACAGUACAGACAUUUACCCAUACAGAAAGCUCUGAUCUUUUGCUUAUACAGCUGUAUAGCUAAAUUAAUGUGCUCCAUUCCUGUGCUAUUAUUCUGUAGUUGGAAGCAUCAAGUGCGUUGCACAUAACAGUAUUAAAACUAAAUUAGCAGGAAUUUUAAUAAUCUAAGAUUUUAAGGAUUAAUCCUACAGACCUCAGUGCAGAUCUUUGGUUUCGAAAGUAGUCAGGGCCACUUUAUUUUUAUGAACUGAACCGGAAUAUAUCAGUCCUUGUUUUGAAAACCUCUCAAGAAAUAUUUCUGUAUGACAGAAUGUGGAUGGUAAUGGGAUAUUUUUAGUGUAAUGUUUGAGUGCAUCACAAGUCUGCUUGCAUUCCUCCAGAAGAGAAUGAGUCAUUAUGCGUGAAUAGAUACGCAAUAAAUUUAACUUGCUUUUCUGCUCAUGCGGUACUAUAAAGCAAAACAGAGUUUUCUGAGAUAUGGUUUUUACUGAAGUUCAUUCUUCACUGAGACUAUAUUUUUUAAUUUAAUAUAUCUAUCACCUCCAUAUCUAGUAAGUAAGGUAACUCGGUGGUUACCUUGGAUCAUAAAGCCAAUGGGGCAGAAGGAACUCACAGAAAGCAUAGGAGAAAGGUCUGUUCACAGGCAGAGAUCUAAUGGUUCUUGCACAUACACAGAUUUUAAAAGGCCAGAAGGAACCCUUCCAUCAUCCUGCCUGUUUUCUGUAGGAAUGUCCUCCAGUGUCUCCCACAAAUUGUAUUUCAAGCAUUUUCCAAAAAGAUACUCUAUAUGUAAGGACUUAAAGAGGUGGACAAUUUUAUAUUUGGCCUUUAUGGGAGAUCUGAAACUUAGAUGUUUGCAAGUGUCCCAAAAGUGUAGCUUACACAGAAUAACCUAUUUAAUGAGGUUUGUGGCAUUCAUUCAUUUUUAUUCUGACUGUUGAGAUCUUCACAGAGAGGGGACAGGAAAGGAAAGGAAAUUUGUGGUGAUGAAGCCUAGUGUGUCUCUUUUGGUUACUGAAUUAAUGCUUCCAAAACAUGGAAUGAAAGCCAGUGAGUUUUUUUAAGGUAGUGUAGGAAAGCUGGAAUAUCAGAAGGCCUUCCUUGCUUUAGCUGCAGUGUCAUUUUCCUGAGGCAAAAGAGACAAUAAAAAUGUAGGGCCAAUAAAUUGACCUUCAUCUUGCUACAGUGAUGUGCUCAUCCCAGCCAUUAAUUUGACAUUGUUCUGGUUCCUGCUUCUGGCUGAAGGUUUCAGCUGGGACAGUGUCAUAGUUCUUUGACAGUUCAAAGUAUAGAGCAUCUCAGACACAGGAAGAAGAGCUUCUGCAUUUCAUUAAACAGCUUUAGAGGGCAUGAUGGAAAACUGAGGGGUAUGAAGAGAUUUCAAAUGCCAAUAGAGACAUUUAAAGCAAGUUUCUAGGCUCCACUUUAAAUUCCACUCCUGGCCUACCCGCGCUUGGCAUCAUCUUUGAGCAGCACAAAUCUGAGGAAAGGAAAGGAAUGUGAAUGAGCCCAUUAGCACAGAUCUCAUAGAUCUUAUGCUUUAGGGACUUAGAAAUUGACAGCAUAUGUUGGUAAAAAGCCUGAGAGAUCAGCCAGGACAAUAAGUUCCUGUUAGGAAACAGCUUGCUUAUCUGGCUUUAAUUUGCUGCAACUGGGUUGCCUGUGUAAGUGUAUGUGGCUACACAUGCACGUAAAAAUACUUUCACUGCCCCAUGCAAUUCCAACCAGACAUACAUGGCAUCCUACACCCCUUGACUGGCAUGCAGCACUCCUGAGUAAUGGAACAGCUAUUUCUCCUUUCAGAUGCACAGCAACAGGAAAUUUAUUUUAAACUCAUUCAGUUUGUGUAAUUCCUCAGGUCUCUUUCCAGCUGGAAGUUGGUUGGCAGGCACGCAUCAGCCUCAAGCCUUUCUCAAACACAGCCUUAUGCAGUUCAUCAGAGUAGGCUAUUAAAUAAGAAAAGUCAAGCCACAAAUGAGGAUGGAUUGGCUGCGGAUGCUGCUCAGCCUGUGCUGUGAGCACUCACUACGUUCCAUCCACACAAGGGUCACAGCUCAUUGCCAGAAAAGGGAACAAUGCUUCAGAGGGGUCACAGCACAGGAUGCAGUGGAAUGUAUGUGCUGGGUGGCAUCACUCAUUGACCAUCUUGUAGUGCUAAAAGCCAGCAGACUCCUGCCUUAUCAUACAUGUAUGCCACACACAGGUGACCCAAUGUCCUCAGCUGUGAGCUCCAUAACAAAAUGUUUGGUCAAGGAAAAACAAACACUUAGAGAACCAAGAACAGGAGGGUCCUGGAGUAGCUGCUCCACUAUUGCCACAUUGCUCUAAGAGGUUGCAAAGGUUGUAUGGGAAGCUUGGUCUUGGGGAGCCUAGUGAUGUCAAUUAGUAGUUGCUGCUUUAUUUCACUCUGCCAACAAGGAUUUAAAUGAUCCAGUAUUUCCCAUGCCAGCACAACCCUGUAGUCAGCUUGAGACCCAGGCAACUCAAGCAUUUGGCUUUUGCAUUUGGCAUGGUAGACAUGGCUUGGCCAACUCUAUCUCAUAUUUGUCCCAGUUCCCCGAAACAGCAGCCAGGGGAUUUCUAUUAUAUUUCCUGAGAGAAAUUCCAGUAUAACCAAAAAACAACUCAAAACGAUUUCCUGUGAAUUUUUUUAUGGUACUUAGCAUAUCAUCAAUCAACCUAACCCAGUCAUUUAAAUGAACAACUCAUAUGGCAAACUAUAUGUUUGAAAAUAUUUCUAAAGGGUUAAUAUCUUUGUAAGUUUUUUUUGUUUGUUACAGAAUUCAAGAAGUCAACAGGCUGCCUAUAAACAUCAAAAGCAUCUGCUGCAGAUGUCCUGAGAGCCAUUUAUAAACACAUAGUACUCAUAUCUGCACAAUGUUGAUUAUAGAUAUUACUAAUAUUUAAAGCUGUGUAUUUAAAGAGACUGUCAUCAUUACUCUUGAGUGACUUUGUUGAAGAUCAAAGUAUAGCUGGUUCUCUGGUACAAGAAGGAGAGCAAGACUACUCAACUGGCCAUGGCCAUGCUACAAGGGUGGCACUGGGGAGGAAUAGGAGCACAAUAUUUUUGCAGUUUUAAGGGCUUGAAUGCACACAGCAUUCAUCAGCCAAAGGGUUGGUUUGCAUUCACUGCAGAGGAUAAGCCCUGUUACUGUUUAGGCAAAAGCAAAACUCUAGAACUAGAGUUCAACUUGCAAAGUAAAAUCCGGUGUCAAACUGUAAUUAUCACAAAAGCCGGAACUGUGGUUCACAGUUUGUUGCCACCUCUUGUAACACAGGUCUGGCUGGACGUAAAUGAAAUUUGAUUUAUUUACUGAUGGAAGAAGUUAGGGCAUGACAACUACGAAUACUGAAGUAUGUUGAGAUAUUUGUGGGGCAGGGACAGGAAAAGAAUCAAUACAUACAGGUACUGGAACGGACAUAAAAUUUCUCUCCCUUAGGAAACUCUGCUCCAGUUAUGUCAGGAAUACAAAUCGAUGCUUCUAAAUUGGUUUAAGUUUUGUUUUGUACUUGGCUGCACUAUACCACUAUGUAUUUUUUGGUUAAAUAAAUGGAUAAUAGUUUCAUUUUAUUUUAUUGGUAGCAGUAUUUCUGCAUUUAAACAAACACUGAUACCAUUUGCAGAGCUUUCUGUUGGUGCAAUAUGGUUGUCUUGUCUCAUAGACAACAAUGUAAGGCUGAGAAAUGCUUUCUGUUCUUGAAAUAAAAAUCAGAACAUUUCUAAUUCACUAUUAAUUCAACUUUUAUUUUCAAUAAGGAAGAGCCAAAGACUGGCAUGCUGCUCAGCCUCACCUUGAUCUCUGGGAAGACAAUAGAAGAAAAUAAUCAGAGGAAACCAUUUUCAAACAUACUAAGUACAAGUAGGCUAUUGGAAAAGGUCAGCAUGGAUUUGCAAAGGGAUGCCUUCCCACCUCAUCCAUUCUGUGUUGUCUGUGAUUGAAGAUGAAAACUGAUCUAACUCCUCUUAACCUGACAAAUCCCAUAAUACCCCUUGUACACAUGGGAAUUUAUUAACUAAAGAAGUAAUAGAUGGACUACUAAUUGCAUUCAGUCAUCAUCACAUUUAACUCAUUAAGUAUCUCAAUAAGAAUUCUUGGUAGAAUAUAAAAACGCAGAUAUCCAGGUUCAGGAAGCAAAAUGUGAAAUUCAAGGUCCCAGAAGUAAAAAGGCAAAGAGGACUGGUGAGUGCAGUGUUUUGUUAUGCCAUUACUUGUUGUGCAAUUUGCAUUGAAAAUGUGAAAUAUUAAACACAAAAAAAGCAGUUGCCAGGCAGAGGAUCAAUUGUGCACUUGCCUUAAUACCCUGUGAAUCAGAGUGCAUCCAUUGGUGUUCAGGAGCUGAAACUCUUAAUACCCUGGCAGGAUUACUUGGAUUGGUGGCAGGGGAAUGCGUAUCUGUGUAUAUGCAUGUUUAAAAAUUUCCUACUCACUUCCUGCUCUGAAACACAUCAGGGAAUGUUUUCUUCUCAUUCCAUGGCUCUCAAUGGGAAAAUAUAUACCUUUAUCUCCCAUUUUAUUACAAACACAUUGUUUUGAGCAAAUUACAGCUCUGGAAUAUUGACUGCCUCUCUAAAAAAAAAAAAAAAAAAGUGUAAUGAUAAUUAAAGGUAUUUCAAAGCAUUUAGCU
This is a long non-coding RNA of Columba livia (rock pigeon), 15887 nucleotides long. RefSeq lists it as uncharacterized. The transcript has 6 exons. Lineage: Eukaryota; Metazoa; Chordata; Aves; Columbiformes; Columbidae. The record is from RefSeq and is a predicted model, not a curated record.